Molecule: unclassified non-coding RNA, 200 nt
Filed under: Oidiodendron sp.
Lineage: Eukaryota; Fungi; Ascomycota; Leotiomycetes; Myxotrichaceae
Description: partial internal transcribed spacer 2
Source: RNAcentral
UUAAGUUCAGCGGGUAUCCCUACCUGAUCCGAGGUCAACCACAGAGUUGGGGGUUCUGGCAGGCCGCCGCCGGGCACCGCAGCGAGAGGUGUACUACGCUGAGAGCCGAGCGGCGCCACCACUGUCUUUGGGGCCGGCCGCGACGGGCCCGGCCCAACACCAAGCGGAGCUUGAGGGUUGAAAUGACGCUCGAACAGGCA